UGUGAGACCAGGAAGGGAGGAGAUGGUUCUGGCACUCCCCUGGUUUUCUUGCUCACUUCCCCACUUUCCUUCAGUUGGACAUCCAGACUACAGGUGUGACCUGCACAGAAGCCAAUCUUGACCAAACCUACUAUUAACCGUGCUGACUGGUGUUCCCUCCGAAGACCAAGCAGUGAACACAGCAUGAUUACCUAAGUGUGCUCCUAUCUGGACUGCCUGGCUUUGCUGGCCCAGUGAUACCAGCCACAGGAUCAACCAGCAAUGACUGGUGCAUGACUGAGAUUUAGGAUCUGUGAACUGCAUGUGAGAGCAAAGGUCUCUUGAACUUGUAAUCACUUGAAGGACUAUGUACCAACACUGCCUCUGUGCACAGUCCAGAGCAGUGGUUCUCACCCUUCCUAAUGCGGCUACACUUUAAUACAGUUCCCUGUGUUGUGGUGACCCCCCCCCAACCACAAAA
Long non-coding RNA from Mastomys coucha (southern multimammate mouse), 460 nucleotides. RefSeq lists it as uncharacterized. Lineage: Eukaryota; Metazoa; Chordata; Mammalia; Rodentia; Muridae. The transcript is spliced from 2 exons. The record is from RefSeq and is a predicted model, not a curated record.